Molecule: unclassified non-coding RNA, 335 nt
Filed under: soil metagenome
Description: partial contains 5.8S ribosomal RNA, internal transcribed spacer 2, and large subunit ribosomal RNA
Rfam family: 5.8S ribosomal RNA (bases 1-119)
Source: RNAcentral
GAUGAAGAACGCAGCGAAAUGCGAUAAGUAAUGUGAAUUGCAGAAUUCAGUGAAUCAUCGAAUCUUUGAACGCACAUUGCGCCGCCAGUAUUCUGGCGGGCAUGCCUGUUCGAGCGUCAUUUCAACCAUCAAGCCCCCGGCUUGUGUUGGGGACCUGCGGCUGCCGCAGGCCCUGAAAAGCAGUGGCGGGCUCGCUGUCACACCGAGCGUAGUAGCAUACAUCUCGCUCUGGGCGUGCUGCGGGUUCCGGCCGUUAAACCACCUUCAUAACCCAAGGUUGACCUCGGAUCAGGUAGGAAGACCCGCUGAACUUAAGCAUAUCAAUAAGCGGAGGA